GACGAACGCUGGCGGCGUGCUUAACACAUGCAAGUCGAACGGAAAGGCCCUGCUUGCAGGGUGCUCGAGAGGCGAACGGGUGAGUAACACGUGGGUGAUCUGCCCCUUACUUUGGGAUAAGCCUGGGAAACUGGGUCUAAUACUGGAUAGGACCAUGCUGUAGGCGGUGUGGUGGAAAGAUUAGUUUCGGUAAGGGAUGAGCUCGCGGCCUAUCAGCUUGUUGGUGGGGUAAUGGCCUACCAAGGCGUCGACGGGUAGCCGGCCUGAGAGGGUGGACGGCCACAUUUGGACUGAGAUACGGCGCAGACUCCUACGGGAGGCAGCAGUGGGGAAUAUUGCACAAUGAGCGCAAGCCUGAUGCAGCGACGCCGCGUGGGGGAUGACGGCAUUCGGGUUGUAAACUCCUUUCAGCCAUGACGAAGCCCUGGUAGUGACGGUAGUGGUAGAAGAAGCACCGGCUAACUACGUG
Molecule: ribosomal RNA, 469 nt
Filed under: uncultured bacterium
Lineage: Bacteria
Description: partial 16S ribosomal RNA
Rfam family: Bacterial small subunit ribosomal RNA
Source: RNAcentral